GCUCAGGUACUUAGUGACUCUCAAAGAAUAUAUAUAGACUUGAGAGACGCUCUGUACCUAGACU
This 64-nucleotide microRNA precursor is filed under the name Drosophila willistoni. RNAcentral's name for it is "microRNA dwi-mir-306 precursor (dwi-mir-306-2)". Its record names the gene dwi-mir-306-2. The record is from miRBase by way of RNAcentral. Lineage: Eukaryota; Metazoa; Arthropoda; Insecta; Diptera; Drosophilidae.